This 352-nucleotide transfer-messenger RNA is filed under the name Bacilli. RNAcentral describes it as "SIG200 sp015059445 Standard tmRNA". It matches the Rfam family "transfer-messenger RNA". From Rfam's summary of the family: Bacterial tmRNA, also known as 10Sa RNA or SsrA, is named for its dual tRNA and mRNA-like properties. The record is from RNAcentral. Lineage: Bacteria; Bacillati; Bacillota. RNAcentral also lists the same sequence under 1 other name.
GGGGUAGUUUGGUUUCGACAUGUAAAUACUAGAAAUGAUUGCAAGUGGUAGGCAUACCUAAAAUGCAUAUAAAAAAUAAAUAACGAAACUAAUUAUAGUUUUGCUCCAGUAUACGCUUAAUAACGCGUAGGAGUACUUUAUAAUUACUUUGCUUAUAGAGUUUUUAUAAGGUUAAUUUAUAUAAGAUAUAUUAUUUUAUUUGAUUAAUGUAAAAUAACGAAUUUGUAAUUAAUCUUGUUAUAUAGAAAGUGUGUUGGAGCUGUCUAUAUAAUAAAAUAAAUUCCAACUAAACUUGUAGAUAUUGUUUUAUAGGUUAUAUUGGACACGAGUUCAAAUCUCGUCUACUCCACCA